UUCGUACGUACGUACGUACACUAUCAAUGGCAGUGUCAGACUAGGGUAGAGAUAAAGCUAAUGGGUGUUAUUGAUGGAGAGAAAGAACCGGUUUCCAUCAGCUCUUUCAAAACUCCAUUUUUUCUUUAAUCUUUUCAUUUCCUUCUUCCAAAAGAAAACCCUUUUGAUCUUUUUUUUUUUUGCUCUUUUUGACUCCUUCCACCAUUUUUGUUCUUUUGUUUGUGUUGUUCUCGGGGUGACGAUCGUACUGCUUUGUAGAGAGGCAUUGAAUUAUUGGUGGAUGAUCUGCAAAAGAAAGCGGUCUGAGGGAAAAGUCAGCAAGAGCUAGCCUAUUGACGACGGGAAAGAGGAAGAAAGUGGUUUUUUUGGAUAGCUUGAUUUAUACCAAGUACUACGAUGGAAGGAGGAAUUGUCAUUUUUAUAUAUUGUGGGUAUUAGUACUUCUGUUUAUAUUGAUUUUUUUGGAUUUUGUAAAUUGUGGUUUAUGGUUUACUGGCUUGUCUUCUUCAAGCUUGGUUUUUGAGUAGUUAUUUUGGGUUUUUAUUAGUAGUUUUAUUUUCACUUUUCUUUUCAUGGAGUAAAUUGAUGAUUGCUCUUUUGGAAGAAGCGAAAUAUCAUUUGUUGCUAAAGGAGCUUGGACAAAAGUGAAAGGAAACUAUGAUUAAUGCCUCAACAAGUUAGUCCCUGAAGAAGAACUUGGAACCAUCAGAUCUUGAUGAAGGAAUGGAUUAUGAAAAGGACGAUGAAUCAGGAGGAAGAUGGUGGGGGAGGUUGACUCGAGAUAUUGUCACUCGAUGCGCCUUUGAAAGGGUGUAUUGCAUUGUUGAUAAAAUGUCAGAGGAGUAAAAGUGUAUGGUGAAAGAUGUCGGGUUUGGAGCUUAUAUAUAUGAGGCUUGAUUUCCCCAACAUCCACACUAAUUAAUUCAGUGGCUUGUGGAGACAUCUGAUUCAUAUGCCCCACUAAUUUUUGUUUUAUUUUUUAAUUCAUAGACAAGCAAAACAUUAUGGUCUUUUUUUUCAA
Humulus lupulus (European hop) is the source of this 1021-nucleotide long non-coding RNA. RefSeq lists it as uncharacterized. Lineage: Eukaryota; Viridiplantae; Streptophyta; Magnoliopsida; Rosales; Cannabaceae. The transcript is spliced from 3 exons. The record is from RefSeq and is a predicted model, not a curated record.